AGGGGGUUAGCAUAGUGGAUAGUGCAACGGACUUUGACUCCGUUUAUGGUGGUUCGAUUCCACUACCCCCUG
This 72-nucleotide transfer RNA is filed under the name Caudoviricetes sp. Its description in RNAcentral is "tRNA-Gln". It matches the Rfam family "tRNA". Rfam says of the family: Transfer RNA (tRNA) molecules are approximately 80 nucleotides in length. The record is from RNAcentral. Lineage: Duplodnaviria; Heunggongvirae; Uroviricota; Caudoviricetes.